AUGGAUUAAAAGAAAAAUGGCGUCUAUUUACGUUUGUAGUGCGAAGUUAAAAUGGCACUGAUACAGCUUGUGGCUUGUUUUUUUUCGAAAAUCGUGAAAGUUUCCGUGUAAUCAUGGUGAACACUUUUAAUCGUCGCACGCAAGCAUGUAUAUCAUUUGCCUGACGUUAAGCGAACGAGGAGGAUCUUCUAGUAAAUAUGACGUUGGAAUUUCUGGAAAAUGUCCUAUAUAAAGGUCAAACAAGAAGAAUCAAGUACUCAAACGCAAGAAAUAAAAAAUACCCCGAGAAAAGCAAAAUUACGACAAGAUGUUAAGGUAUUGAAACAAAAACUUAAAAGUCGCGAAAUAGUGAUUGUAAAUAUAAAGUCGAUUUUAGAUUUAUUAGAGAAAAAUGGCGAUUUUUAAUUGAAUUGAAAUUUAAAUUGCGAAAUUUUAAUGAUACUGAUGGUCCACUUAGAUAUUGAUUAAAAUAAAUUAUGUAUUUCGUUGAAAAAAAAAGAAUUUACUUAAAAUAGAGGAAAUGUUAUAUUAUAAGACUACAGAAAAUUAACUGAACUUAAUAAUAAUAAUAUGUAUAACCAAUAUUUUGUAAAUAGAGAUCAAGUACUAUGUGUAUCGUGUUAUGUGUAUUGACUUGUCAUUUAAGAGUUAUUUAAUUGUCUACAUAUAACAAAUAAAUGAAUUUCAGUUCAUUUCAUUUUAUUA
Molecule: long non-coding RNA, 705 nt
Organism: Bombyx mori (domestic silkworm)
Lineage: Eukaryota; Metazoa; Arthropoda; Insecta; Lepidoptera; Bombycidae
Exons: 2
Source: RefSeq, a predicted model, not a curated record